AAGACUAUAGACCUGCGGAGUACCUGCGGAGGGAUCAUUAUAGAGUGGUAAACCCCCCGUAAAAGGGGGGGACCUCCUGUCCUUUGUAGGCUCUUUUUUAAAAGGGCUUUUUUUAAUUUUCUGCUUCGGUGGGGUUAUCCCACCGGAACAACCUCAAAACUCUUAUCAAAAAAUCGUUCUGUCUGAGAACCUUUUAUAAUAAAAAAAAACUUUCAACAAUGGAUCUCUAGAUCGGAAGAG
This 240-nucleotide unclassified non-coding RNA is filed under the name soil metagenome. RNAcentral's name for it is "partial contains 5.8S ribosomal RNA, internal transcribed spacer 2, and large subunit ribosomal RNA". The record is from RNAcentral.